Unclassified non-coding RNA from Cavia aperea (Brazilian guinea pig), 296 nucleotides. Its record names the gene 7SK. It matches the Rfam family "7SK RNA". Rfam says of the family: 7SK was discovered as an abundant small nuclear RNA in the mid-70s but a possible function has only recently been suggested. Two independent studies have found that 7SK RNA binds the CDK9/cyclin T complex (known as elongation factor P-TEFb). NCBI's taxonomy places the organism in Eukaryota, Metazoa, Chordata, Mammalia, Rodentia, Caviidae. The record is from Ensembl.
GGAUGUGAGGGGGACCUGGCCGCCACCGUUGUCACCCCGCUGGUCCCCAAGGCUGAUGCAUCUGAUCUGGAUGGUCGUGACCUUUGCUCCCUGGACACUCCAUGUUUGUCCCUGAUGAACUUGUGGACUUAGUGGAAGUGGAGAACCACCCUUUAGAGGAAGACUGUUCCUCGGUAUGUGUACGGGUAGCUGCAUUUCCUACCAGACCUUCCAAACAAGCUCUCAAAACUGAUCAAGAUGUGUGUGUAUCAGCUCCCCAGGAUGCAGGUAAUUAUGUUACAUUUCAAACAUACACU